RNAcentral lists this ribosomal RNA (489 nucleotides) under Celeribacter sp. RNAcentral's name for it is "bacterial SSU rRNA". It matches the Rfam family "Bacterial small subunit ribosomal RNA", at positions 171 to 695 of the family's 1533-position model. Lineage: Bacteria; Pseudomonadati; Pseudomonadota; Alphaproteobacteria; Rhodobacterales; Roseobacteraceae. The record is from RNAcentral.
GUAUACGCCCUUCGGGGGAAAGAAUUUCGGUGAGGGAUCGGCCCGCGUUAGAUUAGUUAGUUGGUGGGGUAAUGGCCUACCAAGACUACGAUCUAUAGCUGGUUUGAGAGGAUGAUCAGCAACACUGGGACUGAGACACGGCCCAGACUCCUACGGGAGGCAGCAGUGGGGAAUCUUAGACAAUGGGGGCAACCCUGAUCUAGCGAUGCCGCGUGAGUGAUGAAGGCCUUAGGGUCGUAAAGCUCUUUCGCCUGUGAUGAUAAUGACAGUAGCAGGUAAAGAAACCCCGGCUAACUCCGUGCCAGCAGCCGCGGUAAUACGGAGGGGGUUAGCGUUGUUCGGAAUUACUGGGCGUAAAGCGCACGUAGGCGGAUUAGUCAGUCAGAGGUGAAAUCCCAGGGCUCAACCCUGGAACUGCCUUUGAUACCGGUAGUCCUGAGUUCCAGAGAAGGAAGUGGAAUUCCCAGUGUAAAAGUGAAAUUUCGAGAU